Molecule: ribosomal RNA, 460 nt
Filed under: uncultured bacterium
Lineage: Bacteria
Description: partial 16S ribosomal RNA
Rfam family: Bacterial small subunit ribosomal RNA
Source: RNAcentral
CCUACGGGGGGCAGCAGUGAGGAAUAUUGGUCAAUGGGCGUAAGCCUGAACCAGCCAAGUCGCGUGAGGGAUGAAGGUUCUAUGGAUCGUAAACCUCUUUUAUAAGGGAAUAAAGUGUGGGACGUGUCCUAUUUUGUAUGUACCUUAUGAAUAAGGAUCGGCUAACUCCGUGCCAGCAGCCGCGGUAAUACGGAGGAUCCGAGCGUUAUCCGGAUUUAUUGGGUUUAAAGGGUGCGUAGGCGGCCUCUUAAGUCAGCGGUGAAAGUCUGUGGCUCAACCAUAGAAUUGCCGUUGAAACUGGGGGGCUGGAGGGUAGUUGAGGGAGGCGGAAUGCGUGGUGUAGCGGUGAAAUGCUUAGAUAUCACGCAGAACCCCGAUUGCGAAGGCAGCCUACCGGGCCGUGACUGACGCUGAUGCUCGAAAGCGUGGGGAUCAAACAGGAUUAGAUACCCGAGUAGUC